This 304-nucleotide long non-coding RNA is filed under the name Nicotiana benthamiana. RNAcentral describes it as "long non-coding RNA (NBEN_LNC001762)". Lineage: Eukaryota; Viridiplantae; Streptophyta; Magnoliopsida; Solanales; Solanaceae. The record is from RNAcentral.
AAUGGAAAAAAUGAAGACAGUGAUGAUGAUGACGAUAACGAUGAGAUUGACAAUGAGAAAUUACGUGCUUAUGAAAUGAGUCGGCUCAGGUGACGAUAUGGUUCUGUUUUACCCCUGAGCCAUGUAUCUUUGAGUGAUUCUUGCACUUUUUGGUGACCAAAAGUGAUAACUUAUUGCUAAGCCUUUAUGAAAUUUAUUCUGUUUCUUCUUCUCCUUUUCCCUUAUGCUCCUCUAUUCUGUGUUCAUAAUUUCUAUGUCUUUAAUUAUAUCUCCCAUGGGUCUCUUUUUAAAGUUGCUUCUUUUG